Molecule: ribosomal RNA, 265 nt
Filed under: uncultured bacterium
Lineage: Bacteria
Description: partial 16S ribosomal RNA
Rfam family: Bacterial small subunit ribosomal RNA
Source: RNAcentral
UGGCGAACGGGUGAGUAACACGUGGGGCAACCUGCCCAAAAGAGGGGGAUAACACUUGGAAACAGGUGCUAAUACCGCAUAACCAUAGUUACCGCAUGGUAACUAUGUAAAAGGUGGCUAUGCUACCGCUUUUGGAUGGGCCCGCGACGCAUUAGCUAGUUGGUGGGGUAAAGGCUUACCAAGGCAAUGAUGCGUAGCCGAACUGAGAGGUUGAUCGGCCACAUUGGGACUGAGACACGGCCCAAACUCCUACGGAAGGCAGCAG